AUGCGAGUUGAAUGGGAUACCCAAAGUUCCCAUGGCAAACUGCUCAGUAACACAUGAUCAACUUACCCUAUAGAGAAAAAUAACCUCGGGAAACUGAGGAUAAUGUUUCAUAGUUGAAUUGGCUUGGAAAAGUUUUUCGACGAAAGGGGUAAAAAAAAUGGUUUUUAUCUGCUAUAGGAUAGGAUCGUGUUCGAUUAUGGUUGUUGGUGAGGUAAUGGCUCACCAAGCCGAUAAUCGAUAGGGGCCGUGAGAGCGGGAGCCCCGAGAUGGGUACUGAGACAACGACCCAGGCCUUACGAGGCGCAGCAGGCGCGAAACCUCCGCAAUACACGAAAGUGUGACGGGGUUACCCAAAGUGUUCAAUUUUGAACUGUGGUAGGUGAGUAAUGUUCCCUACUAGAAAGGAGAGGGCAAGGCUGGUGCCAGCCGCCGCGGUAAAACCAGCUCUUCAAGUGGUCGGGAUAAUUAUUGGGCUUAAAGUGUCCGUAGCCGGUUUGGUAAGUUCCUGGUAAAAUCGGGUAGCUUAACUAUCUAUAUGCUAGGAAUACUACUAUACUAGAGGGCGGGAGAGGUCUGAGGUACUACAGGGGUAGGGGUGAAAUCUUAUAAUCCUUGUUGGACCACCAGUGGCGAAGGCGUCAGACUGGAACGCGCCUGACGGUGAGGGACGAAAGCCAGGGGAGCGAACCGGAUUAGAUACCCGGGUAGUCCUGGCCGUAAACGAUGCAUACUAGGUGAUGGCACGGCCAUGAGCCGUGUCAGUGCCGUAGGGAAACCGUUAAGUGUGCCGCCUGGGGAGUACGGUCGCAAGGCUAAAACUUAA
RNAcentral lists this ribosomal RNA (823 nucleotides) under uncultured archaeon. RNAcentral's name for it is "bacterial SSU rRNA". It matches the Rfam family "Archaeal small subunit ribosomal RNA", at positions 51 to 859 of the family's 1478-position model. The record is from RNAcentral.